Sinocyclocheilus anshuiensis is the source of this 341-nucleotide long non-coding RNA. RefSeq lists it as uncharacterized. NCBI's taxonomy places the organism in Eukaryota, Metazoa, Chordata, Actinopteri, Cypriniformes, Cyprinidae. The transcript is spliced from 3 exons. The record is from RefSeq and is a predicted model, not a curated record.
AUGUGCAGACCGUUUAAAAUACAGAUCCUGCAGAUGACAGCUCUGGGACAGUGUUUUUAAUGUCAUUAAACAGCAUCUAUUCCAGCACAAAAACAAACAAAACCGACACCCGCUGCGAUAAAGUGCAGGAAUCGAGAGUCACUAGUAAGGGAUGUGUUUGAACAGAAGCAGAGCUCUGGGACGUGUGGACAGACUUUCACUGUAAUGAUGGACAUCUGCUCAUGGACAGUCUGUCAAGAAGUAUAACCCCUGCUGGACAUCGUGCCGGGGCUCGGGGGGGACCUGAAUCAUCCCCACGCCUUCAUUCACACAACACUCACUCAUAUCACAGAGAUCUGGCU